UGGAGUUACAAAGUUCAAGUUGUGGAGAUUGUUCAAGAAAUUUGAGGUGAGAUUGCAAUUUUUGCAAGAUUGUGAAAGAUUGAAAGGUUUUGAAAGAUUGAAAUUUUUGGUAAUUUUUGAUUUUGGGUAAUCAUAAAAUCAAGUUUUCAAACAUUAAAAUUUCAAAUCAAGUUGAAAUUUAGUGGUUUUAGUUGCAAAAAACCAAACAAAAAACAAAAAAC
RNAcentral lists this long non-coding RNA (221 nucleotides) under Physcomitrium patens. Its description in RNAcentral is "long non-coding RNA (PPAT_LNC001181)". Lineage: Eukaryota; Viridiplantae; Streptophyta; Bryopsida; Funariales; Funariaceae. The record is from RNAcentral.